Molecule: ribosomal RNA, 513 nt
Filed under: uncultured bacterium
Lineage: Bacteria
Description: bacterial SSU rRNA
Rfam family: Bacterial small subunit ribosomal RNA
Source: RNAcentral
AACAAACGCUGGCGGCGUGUCUUAAGCAUGCAAGUUGAGCGGCAAGGAGGAGAGAUCCUCCCUAGAGCGGCGGACUGGUGAGUAACGCGUGGGUAAUCUAUCGUAGGCAUGGGGAUAGUCACUAGAAAUAGUGGGUAAUACCGAAUACGUUCCAUGAGGGAGUAUUCAUGGAAGAAAGGGUGCUACGGCACUGGCCUUAGGUGAGCUCGCGUCCCAUUAGCUAGUUGGUGAGGUAAAGGCCCACCAAGCCGAUGACGGGUAGCCGGCCUGAGAGGGUGACCGGCCCGAGGGGCACUGAGAUACGGGUCCCACUCCUACGGGAGGCAGCAGGCUAGAAAUUUGGGCAAUGGGGGAAACCCUGACCCAGCCAUGCCGCGUGCAGGAUGAAGGCCCUAGGGUUGUAAACUGCUUUUAGCCGGGAAUAAACACCCGUUUUAUAACGGGCCCGAAGGUACCGGCUGAAUAAGCAUCGGCUAACUCCGUGCCCAGCAGCCGACGGUAAAAGUCACGUCG